This 256-nucleotide ribosomal RNA is filed under the name uncultured bacterium. RNAcentral's name for it is "partial 16S ribosomal RNA". It matches the Rfam family "Bacterial small subunit ribosomal RNA", at positions 524 to 776 of the family's 1533-position model. The record is from RNAcentral.
UACGGGGGGGGGCAAGCGUUGUUCGGAAUUACUGGGCGUAAAGGGCUCGUAGGCGGCCAACUAAGUCAGACGUGAAAUCCCUCGGCUUAACCGGGGAACUGCAUCUGAUACUGGAUGGCUUGAGUUCGGGAGAGGGAUGCGGAAUUCCAGGUGUAGCGGUGAAAUGCGUAGAUAUGCGGAGGAACACCGAUGGCGAAGGCAAUCCCCGUGGGCCUGCACUGACGCUCAUGCACGAAAGACGUGGGGAGCAAACAGG